Molecule: transfer RNA, 74 nt
Filed under: Daphnia galeata
Lineage: Eukaryota; Metazoa; Arthropoda; Branchiopoda; Diplostraca; Daphniidae
Rfam family: tRNA
About the family: Transfer RNA (tRNA) molecules are approximately 80 nucleotides in length. Their secondary structure includes four short double-helical elements and three loops (D, anti-codon, and T loops).
Source: Rfam by way of RNAcentral
GGUUUGAUAGCUCAACUUGUAAGAGCGCCGUGCUUAUAGCCCGGAGGUCGUGAGUUCGAUCCUCACGCAAGCCA